AGGUUUUUCAGGCAGAAGUGCUGUUGGGAUUGUGCUCCAUCAGCUCACACUGGGAAAUGUCUGGUCCACGGCCCUGAGAUUUGCUGGUGGCUUCCCAUCCAACCGUCAGGUCUGCCGAGGUUUUCAGAGGUCUGUCAAGAUUGGAGAGGCGCUGCCACCUGCUACGGUUGACUGGGGCAGCAGGAUACACAUAACUGGAUAUGCUGACUAGCAAGCACUGAAGUCAACUAAAGAGCAACUCGGAUGGACUGCUUGUGUCAAAGAAAGAUUGCCAACUGUAAAAUAUGGACGUAAUUUUAUAACAUUAUUUUAUAAUUAAAGUAAUAAGUGAGGUUUCCUGCUGUUGUUUAAAGAUGUGUCAUGAUACAUUUAAAUCAUAGAUAAAACCGUAGGAAAACGCUACUAAGUAACAUGUUGGCAGCGAUGAUGGUACAGAGGGGAAAGAGCAGGCGAAGGACACGUGCAAACAAUUUCGUGGGACUAGUUCUGUUUACGGCAUGUAGGUUCUGUUUUAGGAACUCUGACCACUCAGAAAGUAUUUUCAUUCAUGCCAGAAUGAGGUUUUGCUUGUUUGUUAUUGAACAUGUAUAUGGAGAGACUAUUGUUUUUACUGGCAAAGAAAUGUAGUAUGUUGGUUUUG
Python bivittatus (Burmese python) is the source of this 640-nucleotide non-coding RNA. The record is from RefSeq and is a predicted model, not a curated record. NCBI's taxonomy places the organism in Eukaryota, Metazoa, Chordata, Lepidosauria, Squamata, Pythonidae.